GAUGAACGCUGGCGGCGUGCCUAAUACAUGCAAGUCGAGCGAACAGACGAGGAGCUUGCUCCUCUGACGUUAGCGGCGGACGGGUGAGUAACACGUGGAUAACCUACCUAUAAGACUGGGAUAACUUCGGGAAACCGGAGCUAAUACCGGAUAAUAUAUUGAACCGCAUGGUUCAAUAGUGAAAGACGGUUUUGCUGUCACUUAUAGAUGGAUCCGCGCCGCAUUAGCUAGUUGGUAAGGUAACGGCUUACCAAGGCAACGAUGCGUAGCCGACCUGAGAGGGUGAGGGGCCGCAGUGGAACAGAGACACGGUCCAGACUCAUGGGGGGGGAGAAAGUAGGGAGUCUUCCGCAAUGGGCGAAAGUUUGACGAAGCAACGCCGCGGGAGUAAUGAAGGUCUUCGGAUCGAAAAACUCUGUUAUUGGGAAAAAACAAAUUUGUAAGUAACUAUGCACGUCUUGACGGUACCUAAUAAGAAAGCCCCGGCUAACUACGUG
This 497-nucleotide ribosomal RNA is filed under the name uncultured bacterium. RNAcentral's name for it is "partial 16S ribosomal RNA". It matches the Rfam family "Bacterial small subunit ribosomal RNA", at positions 28 to 507 of the family's 1533-position model. The record is from RNAcentral.